Molecule: ribosomal RNA, 439 nt
Filed under: uncultured bacterium
Lineage: Bacteria
Description: partial 16S ribosomal RNA
Rfam family: Bacterial small subunit ribosomal RNA
Source: RNAcentral
CCUACGGGUGGCAGCAGUGGGGAAUAUUGCACAAUGGAGGAAACUCUGAUGCAGCGACGCCGCGUGAGUGAAGACGUACUUCGGUAUGUAAAGCUCUAUCAGCAGGGAAGAAAAUGACGGUACCUGAUUAAGAAGCCCCGGCUAACUACGUGCCAGCAGCCGCGGUAAUACGUAGGGGGCAAGCGUUAUCCGGAUUUACUGGGUGUAAAGGGAGCGUAGGCGGGAGUGCAAGUUGAAGGUAAAAUCCGGGGGCUAAACUGGGGGCUGCGUUUUAAACUUGUUUUCUUGAGUGGAGGAGAGGUAGGCGGAAUUCCUGGUGUAGCGGUGAAAUGCGUAGAUAUUAGGAGGAACACCAGUGGCGAAGGCGGCCUACUGGGCUGUAACUGACGCUGAGGCUCGAAAGCGUGGGGAGCAAACAGGAUUAGAUACCCCAGUAGUC